This 493-nucleotide ribosomal RNA is filed under the name uncultured bacterium. RNAcentral's name for it is "partial 16S ribosomal RNA". It matches the Rfam family "Bacterial small subunit ribosomal RNA", at positions 30 to 507 of the family's 1533-position model. The record is from RNAcentral.
AUUGAACGCUGGCGGCAUGCUUUACACAUGCAAGUCGAACGGCAGCGCGGAGAAGCUUGCUUCUCUGUCGGCGAGUGGCGCACGGGUGAGUAUAGCAUCUGAACGUGCCAAGUAGUGGGGGAUAACCAAACGAAAGUUUGGCUAAUACCGCGUAAGCUCUAAGGAGGAAAGUUGGGGACCUAAAUAAGGCCUUACGCUAUUUGAUCGGCCGAUGUCGGAUUGGCGAGUUGGUGGGGUAAUGGCUCACCAAGGCAAUGAUCCGUGGCGGGACUGUAAGGAGGAUCAGACACACUGGGACUGAGACACGGCCCAGACUCCUACGGGAGGCAGCAGUGGGGAAUUUUGGACAAUGGGGGAAACCCUGAUCCAGCCAUGCCGCGUGUAUGAAGAAGGCCUUAGGGUUGUAAAGUACUUUUGUUAGGGAAGAAAAGCUAGUUUUUAAUAAAAAUUAGUGAUGACGGUACCUAAAGAAUAAGCACCGGCUAACUACGUG